This 443-nucleotide ribosomal RNA is filed under the name uncultured bacterium. Its description in RNAcentral is "partial 16S ribosomal RNA". It matches the Rfam family "Bacterial small subunit ribosomal RNA", at positions 338 to 795 of the family's 1533-position model. The record is from RNAcentral.
CCUACUGGAGGCAGCAGUGGGGAAUAUUGGGCAAUGGGCGCAAGCCUGACCCAGCAACGCCGCGUGAAGGAAGAAGGCUUUCGGGUUGUAAACUUCUUUUGUCAGGGACGAAGCAAGUGACGGUACCUGACUAAUAAGCUACCGCUAACUACGGGCCAGCAGCCGCCGUAAUACGUAGGUGGCAAGCGUUAUCCGGAUUUACUGGGUGUAAAGGGCGUGUAGGCGGGACUGCAAGUCAGCUGUGAAAACCACGGGCUCAACCUGUGGCCUGCAUUUGAAACUGUAGUUCUUGAGUGCGGGAGAGGCAGGCGGAAUGCCUAGUGGAGCGGUGAAAUGCGUAGAUAUUAGGAGGAACACCAGUGGCGAAGGCGGUCUGCUGGACAGCAACUGACGCUGAGGCGCGAAAGCGUGGGGAGCAAACAGGAUUAGAUACCCCUGUAGUC